AUGGAGCAAGAUCUCACAAAACAAAAGAAAACAACCUGUUCCAUUGCCAUCAGUCAUCCAGUGCUGCUGCAGAGACUUAGAUGGGCUCAGCCUUUUGGAAAUAAAAGCUGGGGGAACGUGUGGAAUUUUUCCACAUCUUUAUCUUAUGACAAUGAACAUGAAACUGACUACCUACCUGAACAGGGAGGACAGAACAGUGGAAAAAUAUGAAACAAAAUCUUCAACAAUUAAUGUCCACAAACGAGUCUAUCUGUAACUCUUUCAAGGUAAUCACAAAUUGAGAGAGUUUAAGAACCAUGUUUAAUUUCCCAAUCUGUAAAUUGAUUGAUAUGCACCAUGUAUUUCAUGGUAUCCAAUGCUUUGGGUUGUUUUUUUUUUUUUUUGAGAUGGAGUUUUGCUCUUGUCACCCAGGCUGGAGUGCAGUGGCAUGAUCUCGGCUCACUGCAACCUCUGCCUACUGGGCUUGAAGCGAUUCUCCUGCCUCAGCCUCCCGAGUAGCUGGGAUUACAGGUGUGUGCCACCAUGCCUGGUUAUUUUGUAUUUUUAGUAGAGACUCAGGAGGCUAAGGUGGGAGAAUCGCUUGAGCUCAAGAGUUUGAGGCUGCAGUAAGCCACGACCACACCACUGCACUCCCACCUGGGCAACAGAGCAAGACUCUGUCUCAAAAAAAUUAAAAUAAAGCUUAUGAUUUUUUUUUAAAAGAAAAGAAGUCACGUGCAGUGGCUUACCUUGUAAUCCCAGCACUUUGGGAGGCUGAGGUGGGUGGAUCACGAGGUUAAGAGAUGGAGACCGUUGUGGCCAACUUGGUAAAACUCCGUCUCCACUAAAAAUACAAAAAAAAAUACCCAGGAAUGGUGCCACGUGCCUGUAGUUUCAGCUACUUGGGAGGCUGAAGCAGGAGAGUCGCUUGAACCUGAAGGGUGGAGGUUGCAGUGAGCCAAGAUUGCACCACUAUACUCCAGCCUGGGGGACAGAGCAAGACUCCAUCUCAAAAAAAAAAGAAAGGAAACAUACCAAAUGUAGGUACGUCCUUCCUUGAACAAUCUCAGGUUUCUAAUCUAAUAACAAAAAAUUUCUAUCAUUAGUUUUGGAAAAGUACCCCCACUUUUGAUGAUCUGCCUGCCUCUGCCUCCCAAAGUGCCCACAGGAUCCCUUCAGGUUCUGAGCGAAUUCAAAAGCUGAUCAGGCUGGGCAAGGUGGCUCACGCCUAGAAUCCCAGCACUUUGGGAGGCCGAGGUUGGGGGAUCACUUGAGGUCAGGCAUUCAAGACCAGCCUGGCCAACACAGUGAAAUCCCAUUUCUACUAAAAAUAUGAAAACUAGCCAGGCAUGAUGUCAGGCUCCCGUCAUCCCAGCUACUAAGGAGGUCGAGACAGGGGAAUCACUUGAACCCAGGUGGCAGAGGUUGCAGUGAGCCGAGAUCACACCACUGCACUGCAGCCUGGGCAACAGAGCAAGACGCUGUCUCAAAAAGCAAACACACAAAGCGGAUCCAAUUUGAGAAGUUUGCAGCUGUCUGACACCCACACAUUUUCUAGGAAAGGCCUACAGGUACAGCACAGAGUCCUAGGCCCACACAAAAAGCAAGAAGCCCUCCUGACUCCCUCUGGCCCAGGACAGGUCGGCCUGCCCCCACACAUUCUCUGCCAGGCAGCCUGACACAGCAGUUAAGGCCCAGGCUUUGGAGUCAGACUGCCUGGGGUCAGAUCCAGGCCUUGUGUUUACUGGCUGGCCUUACUCACUGCUGGAACCUUGAGUUUCUCAUCUAUAAAACAGAACUAAUAAUAGUGUCUUCAUGAGCUAUUAGGAGACUUAAAGGCCGAUGCACAUGGAGCACUUUCAUAAACACUCCCCACAUCCUGGCUUUCCACCUCCCUCCUGCAGGCUCCAGGCUCACUUGCCAUGGUUGCACACAGGCACGUGGGCACCAUCUCUUGGCUCCUCCGUGGGGACCCCUGUGGGCAGGCAGACGCCAAGCUAGAGAACGGGGGGAGGGACUGGGCACUGAGAAUCACACCUGUAAUCCCAGCACUUUGGGAGGCUGAGGUGGGUGGAUCACCUGAGGGCAGGAGUUUGAGACCAGCCUGACCAACAUGGUGAAACCCCAUCUCUACCAAAAAUGCAAAAAUUAGCCAGGUGUCGUGGCACCGGCCUGUAAUCCCAGCUACUCAGGAGGCUGAGGCAGGAGAAUUGCUUGAACUUGGGAGGCGGAGGUUGCAGUGAGCUGAGAUCACAACAUUGCACUCCAGCCUGGGCAACAAAAGGAGACUCUGUCUCAAAAAAAAAAAAAGAAAAAAAAGACAAGUGCUGGUGAGGAUGUGGAGAAAUGGGAACUCAAACACUGCUGCUGAGAAUGUAAAAUGGUACAGCUGCCAUGGAAGAGUCUGGCAGUUCCUCCAGAUGUUAAAUACAGAGCUACCCUACGACCCAGCAAUUCCAUAGCAAGGUAUACACACAAGAGAAAUGAAAACAUACGUUCACUCAAAAUACCAUGAUUCGUAAUACCUGAAAAAGUAGAAACAAUCUAAAUGUCCAUUAAUUGAUAAAUGAAUAAACAAAAUGUAAUACUCUGUCCAGUGGAAUAUUAUUCAGCUGUAAAAAAAAAAAGAAUGAAGUAUUGAUACAUGAACCUUAAAAACACUAAGUGAAAAAAGCCAGAUAUAAAAGGUCUUAUAUUGUAUGAAUCCAUUUCUAUGAAACGUUUAGAACACACAAAUUUACAGUGAUGGUAGAUCAGCAGUUGCCUGUGGCUAGGGAGGGGCGGGAGGCAAACAGAUAAUAGGAAAUUCUAAUGGGCUCAAGGUUUCCUUUUGAGAUGAUGAAAAUGCUCUUAAAUUGACUGUGGUAGUUGCAACACCUCUGUGAAUACAUCAUUGAAUUGUAUGCUUUAAACGAGUGAAUGAUACGGUAUGUAAAUUUUAUCUCAAUAAAGCUGUUAACUCCCCUCCAAAAACCACGCAGUAAAACAGAGAAAACGAAAAUUAGUCAUGAGCACACUAGGGAGAAUUGCCUUUAGCAUCUUAGUGUGCUUUCUUUGUGUGUGACACUGAAUUAGAAUCCUGAAUUUUUAUUUUCUGAUUUUCAUUUUCUUGUAUUUGGCUAUGUC
Molecule: long non-coding RNA, 3105 nt
Filed under: Callithrix jacchus (white-tufted-ear marmoset)
Lineage: Eukaryota; Metazoa; Chordata; Mammalia; Primates; Cebidae
Description: lncRNA (ENSCJAG00000077827.1)
Source: RNAcentral